This 551-nucleotide ribosomal RNA is filed under the name uncultured bacterium. RNAcentral describes it as "partial 16S ribosomal RNA". It matches the Rfam family "Bacterial small subunit ribosomal RNA", at positions 355 to 895 of the family's 1533-position model. The record is from RNAcentral.
UGGGGAAUAUUGGACAAUGGGCGCAAGCCUGAUCCAGCAAUGCCGCGUGUGUGAAGAAGGCCUUCGGGUUGUAAAGCACUUUUAUCAGGAGCGAAACGCUGUCGGCUAAUACCCGGCGGAACUGACGGUACCUGAGGAAUAAGCACCGGCUAACUUCGUGCCAGCAGCCGCGGUAAUACGAAGGGUGCAAGCGUUAAUCGGAAUUACUGGGCGUAAAGCGUGCGUAGGCGGUUUCUUAAGUCUGCUGUGAAAUCCCCGGGCUCAACCUGGGAAUGGCAGUGGAUACUGGGAGGCUAGAGUGUGUCAGAGGGUGGUGGAAUUCCCGGUGUAGCGGUGAAAUGCGUAGAGAUCGGGAGGAACAUCAGUGGCGAAGGCGGCCACCUGGGACAACACUGACGCUGAGGCACGAAAGCGUGGGGAGCAAACAGGAUUAGGAUACCCUGGUAGUCCACGCCCUAAAGCGAUGCGAACUGGAUGUUGGUCUCAACUCGGAGAUCAGUGUCGAAGCUAACGCGUUAAGUUCGCCGCCUGGGGAGUACGGUCGCAAGACU